Glycine max (soybean) is the source of this 90-nucleotide non-coding RNA. NCBI's taxonomy places the organism in Eukaryota, Viridiplantae, Streptophyta, Magnoliopsida, Fabales, Fabaceae. The record is from Rfam.
AGUCUUCGUGUUCCCUCAAAGGCUUCCAGUAUUCAUUCAUACCUAACUAGUUGCUUGAAUGCUGGAUGUCUUUGAAGGAAUUUGAAAGCU